UCAAACAAACCCCAGACCUCGUUGAAAGCAUUUUUAGCCUCAGCAUCAUAUUUGGCUCGGGCGGCUUUUUCCUGGGAUCUCCGAAUGGGGCAACCCGACCGCAAGGUCAUCCGGGCCUGAAUGCAUAGGGCUCGUGAAGCGAACGCAGCGAACUGAAACAUCUCAGUAGCUGCAGGAAAGGAAAGCAACCGCGACUCCGUGAGUAGCGCCGAGCGAAAGCGGAUUUACCAGAGGAACGACGAGCGACUUGGAAAAGUCGGCCACAGAGGGUGACAGCCCCGUAGGCGCGAAUCUGGGAAUGGCUUCAAGUAGAGUCAGGCUCGAGAAACCUGGCUUGAACAUGGGGGGACCACCCUCCAAGCCUGAGUACUCCUUGACGACCGAUAGUGAACCAGUAAGGCGACUGAACGAUGAAAAGCACCCCGACAAGGGGAGUUAAAAGCACCUGAAACCGUGUGCUUACACAGCGGUCACGGGCCUACGGGCUUGUGGCGUGCCUUUUGCAUAAUGAGCUGGCGAGUUAUUCUCUAUGGCAAGGCUAAGUCGUUACGCGACGGAGCCGAAGGGAAACCGAGUCUGACAAGGGCGAAUAGUCAUAGGGGAUAGGCGCGAAACCGGUUGAUCUACCCAUGGGCAGGUUGAAGGUGGGGUAAAACCCGCUGGAGGACCGAAGCCGUGAACGUUGAAAAGUUCUGGCAUGACCUGUGGGGAGGGCUUACAGUGCAAUCAUAACCGGAGAUAUCUCGUUCUCCCCGAAACAGUUUUGGGACUGGCCUCGGGGGUCAGCGCAUGGGGGUAGAGCUACUGAAUGGACUUGGGGGUCUACCCGACUACCCGGUCCAAUCAAACUCCGAAUACCAUGCGUUUUGCCCCGGGAGUAAGUCUGCGAGCGAUAAUGUUCGCAGUCAAAAGGGAAACAACCCAGACCAUCGGAUAAGGUCCCUAAUCGAACCUCAGUUCGAAAGGUAGUCAGAUUGCUGUGACAGCCAGGAUGUUGGCUUAGAAGCAGCCACCAUUUAAAAAGUGCGUAACAGCUUACUGGUCGAGGAAUCUGGCGCCGAUAAUUAUCGGGAAUCAAGGUUUGUACCGAAUCCGUGGCCGCAGCAAUGCGGGGUAGGGGAGCGUCGCUGUCAGCGUCGAAGGGGUUCCGCGAGGGACUCUGGAGCGGCAGCAAGUGAAUAUGCCAGCUUGAGUAACGAUAAAGAGAGUGAGAAUCUCUCUCGCCGAAAGUCCAAGGUUUCCUGGGGAAGGUAAAUCCGCCCAGGGUUAGGCGGCUCCUAAGGCAAGGCCGAAAGGCGUAGUCGAUGGACAGCAGGUCAACAUUCCUGCCCCGCCAUGCAAGGUUGAACCGACGUGACGGAUCUGGAAGCUCGCACGGCCCUGUGAAGUGGGCAGGCCCUUGAGGCCGACGUGGGGUGGACAGGUUCCAAGAAAAGCCGUUCGGGGACGAGCAUGGUGGCCGUACCAAAACUGACACAGGUGGACGUGGCGAAUAGCCUCAGGCGCUCGAGAAAACGGUCGUGAAGGAACUAGGCAAUUUGACCCCGUACGUUCGCAACAAGGGGGCCCUCCUCGCAAGAGAGGGCGCAGAGAAAAGGCUCUGGGAACUGUUUAUCAAAAACACAGCACUGUGCGAACUCGCAAGAGGACGUAUACAGUGUGACGCUUGCCCGGUGCCGGAACGUCAAGGGAGCUGGUUAGCCGCAAGGCGAAGCUAGCGACUGAAGCGCCGGUAAACGGCGGCCGUAACUAUGACGGUCCUAAGGUAGCGAAGUUCCUUGUCGGGUAAGUUCCGACGCGCAUGAAUAGCGUAAUCACUGGAGCACUGUCUCCACGACCGACUCGGUGAAAUAGUAGUGGCGGUGAAGAUGCCGCCUACCCGCAGCAAGACGGAAAGACCCCGUGCACCUUUACUGUACGCUUGCAGUGGUCAUGGAUUUGUUCUGCGUAGCAUAGGUGGGAGCCUUUGAAGCCGAACUCUCGGGUUCGGUGGAGGCAAUAGUGAAAUACCACUCUGAAUGAAUUCGUGGCCUAACCCCGAAUCCCGUGAAGCCGGGCGGGGAACACUGCAUGCCGGGCAGUUUGACUGGGGCGGUCUCCUCCAAAAAUGUAACGGAUCUAUCGUGACUGGGAAACAGAUCGGAAGA
RNAcentral lists this ribosomal RNA (2147 nucleotides) under freshwater metagenome. RNAcentral describes it as "bacterial LSU rRNA". It matches the Rfam family "Bacterial large subunit ribosomal RNA", at positions 67 to 2334 of the family's 2925-position model. The record is from RNAcentral.